This 312-nucleotide ribosomal RNA is filed under the name uncultured soil bacterium. RNAcentral describes it as "bacterial SSU rRNA". It matches the Rfam family "Bacterial small subunit ribosomal RNA", at positions 26 to 366 of the family's 1533-position model. The record is from RNAcentral.
AGAACGAACGCUGGCGGCAUGCCUAAUACAUGCAAGUCGAACGAACACUUCGGUGUUAGUGGCGCACGGGUGCGUAACGCGUGGGAAUCUGCCCUUGGGUUCGGAAUAACAGUUGGAAACGACUGCUAAUACCGGAUGAUAUCGAAAGAUCAAAGAUUUAUCGCCCAGGGAUGAGCCCGCGUAGGAUUAGCUAGUUGGUGAGGUAAAGGCUCACCAAGGCGACGAUCCUUAGCUGGUCUGAGAGGAUGAUCAGCCACACUGGGACUGAGACACGGCCCAGACUCCGUACGGGAGCAGCAGUAGGGAAUAGUU